GAUCCUGGCUCAGGAUGAACGCUAGCUACAGGCUUAACACAUGCAAGUCGAGGGGCAGCAUGAACUUAGCUUGCUAAGUUUGAUGGCGACCGGCGCACGGGUGAGUAACACGUAUCCAACCUGCCGAUGACUCGGGGAUAGCCUUUCGAAAGAAAGAUUAAUACCCGAUGGCAUAGUUCUUCCGCAUGGUAGAACUAUUAAAGAAUUUCGGUCAUCGAUGGGGAUGCGUUCCAUUAGGUUGUUGGCGGGGUAACGGCCCACCAAGCCUUCGAUGGAUAGGGGUUCUGAGAGGAAGGUCCCCCACAUUGGAACUGAGACACGGUCCAAACUCCUACGGGAGGCAGCAGUGAGGAAUAUUGGUCAAUGGACGAGAGUCUGAACCAGCCAAGUAGCGUGAAGGAUGACUGCCCUAUGGGUUGUAAACUUCUUUUAUACGGGAAUAAAGUGAGGCAUGUGUGCCUUUUUGUAUGUACCGUAUGAAUAAGGAUCGGCUAACUCCGUG
Molecule: ribosomal RNA, 502 nt
Filed under: uncultured bacterium
Lineage: Bacteria
Description: bacterial SSU rRNA
Rfam family: Bacterial small subunit ribosomal RNA
Source: RNAcentral